Molecule: ribosomal RNA, 436 nt
Filed under: uncultured bacterium
Lineage: Bacteria
Description: partial 16S ribosomal RNA
Rfam family: Bacterial small subunit ribosomal RNA
Source: RNAcentral
UGGGGAAUAUUGGACAAUGGGCGAAAGCCUGAUCCAGCCAUGCCGCGUGUGUGAAGAAGGUCUUCGGAUUGUAAAGCACUUUAAGUUGGGAGGAAGGGCAGUAAAUUAACACUUUGCUGUUUUGACGUUACCGACAGAAUAAGCACCGGCUAACUCUGUGCCAGCAGCCGCGGUAAUACAGAGGGUGCAAGCGUUAAUCGGAAUUACUGGGCGUAAAGCGCGCGUAGGUGGUUCGUUAAGUUGGAUGUGAAAUCCCCGGGCUCAACCUGGGAACUGCAUUCAAACUGACGAGCUAGAGUAUGGUAGAGGGUGGUGGAAUUUCCUGUGUAGCGGUGAAAUGCGUAGAUAUAGGAAGGAACACCAGUGGCGAAGGCGACCACCUGGACUGAUACUGACACUGAGGUGCGAAAGCGUGGGGAGCAAAACAGGAUUAGAU